This 27-nucleotide non-coding RNA is filed under the name Macaca fascicularis (crab-eating macaque). RNAcentral also lists the same sequence under 4 other names. Lineage: Eukaryota; Metazoa; Chordata; Mammalia; Primates; Cercopithecidae. The record is from RNAcentral.
UCGCGAGUUCAAAUCUCGCUGGGGCCU